RNAcentral lists this transfer RNA (77 nucleotides) under Pseudonocardia sp. RNAcentral describes it as "tRNA-Leu". It matches the Rfam family "tRNA". From Rfam's summary of the family: Transfer RNA (tRNA) molecules are approximately 80 nucleotides in length. Their secondary structure includes four short double-helical elements and three loops (D, anti-codon, and T loops). The record is from RNAcentral. Lineage: Bacteria; Bacillati; Actinomycetota; Actinomycetes; Pseudonocardiales; Pseudonocardiaceae.
GCCCCCGUAGUCCAACCGGCAGAGACCAUGGAUUCAAAACCCAUCCAGUGUGCGUUCGAAUCGCACCGGGGGCACCA